This 905-nucleotide ribosomal RNA is filed under the name Leucopaxillus giganteus. RNAcentral describes it as "partial large subunit ribosomal RNA". It matches the Rfam family "Eukaryotic large subunit ribosomal RNA", at positions 45 to 922 of the family's 3401-position model. The record is from RNAcentral. Lineage: Eukaryota; Fungi; Basidiomycota; Agaricomycetes; Agaricales; Tricholomataceae.
AAUAAGCGGAGGAAAAGAAACUAACAAGGAUUCCCCUAGUAACUGCGAGUGAAGCGGGAAAAGCUCAAAUUUAAAAUCUGGCGGUCAUUCUGGCCGUCCGAGUUGUAAUCUAGAGAAGUGUUAUCCGCGCUGGACCGUAUACAAGUCUCCUGGAAUGGGGCGUCAUAGAGGGUGAGAAUCCCGUCUUUGAUACGGACUGCCAGGGCUUAUGUGAUGCGCUCUCAAAGAGUCGAGUUGUUUGGGAAUGCAGCUCAAAAUGGGUGGUAAAUUCCAUCUAAAGCUAAAUAUUGGCGAGAGACCGAUAGCGAACAAGUACCGUGAGGGAAAGAUGAAAAGAACUUUGGAAAGAGAGUUAAACAGUACGUGAAAUUGUUGAAAGGGAAACGCUUGAAGUCAGUCGCGUUGGCCAGGGAUCAACCCCUUGGGGUGUACUUUCUGGUUUUACGGGUCAACAUCAGUUUUGAUUGUUGGAUAAAGGUUUAGGGAAUGUGGCAUCUUCGGAUGUGUUAUAGCCCUUGGCCAUAUACAACAGUUGGGACUGAGGAACUCAGCAUGCUCGAAAGAGUCGGGUUAGCUUUGGUUAACUACGUUUACAUGCUUAGGAUGUUGGCAUAAUGGCUUUAAUCGACCCGUCUUGAAACACGGACCAAGGAGUCUAACAUGCCUGCGAGUAUUUGGGUGGAAAACUCGAAUGCGCAAUGAAAGUGAUAGUUGAGAUCCCUGUCGCGGGGAGCAUCGACGCCCGGACCAGACGGUUUAUUCCUGACGGUCCCGCGGUAGAGCAUGUAUGUUGGGACCCGAAAGAUGGUGAACUAUGCCUGAAUAGGGUGAAGCCAGAGGAAACUCUGGUGGAAGGCUCGUAGCGAUUCUGACGUGCAAAUCGAUCGUCGAAUUUGGGUAUAGGG